Molecule: non-coding RNA, 224 nt
Filed under: Tepidanaerobacter syntrophicus
Lineage: Bacteria; Bacillati; Bacillota; Clostridia; Thermosediminibacterales; Tepidanaerobacteraceae
Description: T-box sequence
Rfam family: T-box leader
About the family: Uncharged tRNA acts as the effector for transcription antitermination of genes in the T-box leader family.
Source: RNAcentral
GGUAAAGCGAUGAAGGGGACAGUAAGCGCCGAAAAGCCUUUUAGCGAGCCGGAGAGGGUGGAAGUCCGGCAGGCUCAAGCGUCCGAACAUCACCCCUGAGUGCGGUUGUGAAACAAUAAGGAGUAAUAACUGCCGGCAUAUGUGCCGUUAUUUAAAAUAAGAGGAAAAGAGGAAAAGCCUUUUUUCUAGUUGGGUGGUAACGCGGGAGAAAUCUCGUCCCUUUG